CUUGAGAGUUAUACAGAUGGACUUCAAACAGUGCAAUGAUACAAACAAAAAGAUAAGUGUUUUUUCUUUUUUUAUUUUUCUAUUUAAUUGUCUCUCUGGUUACACAGCACUUAUUGUUCCAAUCUAUACAGGAUACAUCACACCCUAUAUAUCCUAUCCUAGGUGCUCAGCAUUUAAGAUAAUCAGAGCAUCACGCUGA
RNAcentral lists this long non-coding RNA (199 nucleotides) under Junco hyemalis (dark-eyed junco). RNAcentral describes it as "lncRNA (ENSJHYG00000001287.1)". Lineage: Eukaryota; Metazoa; Chordata; Aves; Passeriformes; Passerellidae. The record is from RNAcentral.